Molecule: ribosomal RNA, 777 nt
Filed under: Triticum aestivum (bread wheat)
Lineage: Eukaryota; Viridiplantae; Streptophyta; Magnoliopsida; Poales; Poaceae
Description: partial small subunit ribosomal RNA
Source: RNAcentral
AUGAAUUCCUUUGUUAUAAGAGCAGCUAAACCUUAUUUGGCCACUAUAGGAGCAACUGUUAAUGGUCAUUAUGGAGAAAUCCUUUACAAGGGAGAUAGGUUAGUUACAUUUAUAUAUGAAAAAUCAAGAUCUAGUGACAUAACGCAAGGUCUUCCAAAAGUGGAACAAAUCUUUGAAGCGCGUUCAAUUGAUUCAUUAUCCCCGAAUCUCGAAAGGAGAAUUGAGGAUUGGAAUGAGCGUAUACCAAGAAUUCUUGGGGUCCCUUGGGGAUUCUUGAUUGGAGCUGAGCUAACCAUAGCCCAAAGUAGUAUCUCUUUGGUUAAUAAAAUCCAAAAGGUUUAUCGAUCCCAAGGGGUACAGAUCCAUAAUAGACAUAUAGAGAUUAUUAUACGCCAAGUAACAUCAAAAGUGCGGGUUUCCGAAGAUGGAAUGUCUAAUGUUUUCUCGCCUGGGGAAUUAAUCGGACUAUUGCGAGCGGAACGAGCAGGACGAGCUUUGGAUGAAUCGAUCUAUUAUCGGGCAAUCUUAUUGGGAAUAACAAGGGCUUCCCUAAAUACCCAAAGUUUCAUAUCUGAAGCAAGUUUUCAAGAAACUGCUCGAGUUUUAGCAAAAGCUGCCCUACGAGGUCGCAUUGAUUGGUUGAAAGGCUUGAAAGAAAACGUAGUUCUGGGGGGGUUUAUACCUGUUGGUACCAGAUUCCAAAAAUUUGUGCAUCGUUCCCCACAAGACAAGAACCUUUAUUUCCAAAUAAAAAAAAUCUAUUCACGUCGGAAAUGA